AGUGAACGCUGGCGGUAGGCCUAACACAUGCAAGUCGAACGGCAGCACAGUAAGAGCUUGCUCUUACGGGUGGCGAGUGGCGGACGGGUGAGGAAUACAUCGGAAUCUACUUUUUCGUGGGGGAUAACGUAGGGAAACUUACGCUAAUACCGCAUACGACCUACGGGUGAAAGCAGGGGAUCUUCGGACCUUGCGCGAUUGAAUGAGCCGAUGUCGGAUUAGCUAGUUGGCGGGGUAAAGGCCCACCAAGGCGACGAUCCGUAGCUGGUCUGAGAGGAUGAUCAGCCACACUGGAACUGAGACACGGUCUAGACUCCUACGGGAGGCAGCAGUGGGGAAUAUUGGACAAUGGGCGCAAGCCUGAUCCAGCCAUACCGCGUGGGUGAAGAAGGCCUUCGGGUUGUAAAGCCCUCUUGUUGGGAAAGAAAAGCAGCAGGUUAAUACCCCGCUGUUCUGACGGUACCCAAAGAAUAAGCACCGGCUAACUUCGUG
Molecule: ribosomal RNA, 492 nt
Filed under: uncultured bacterium
Lineage: Bacteria
Description: partial 16S ribosomal RNA
Rfam family: Bacterial small subunit ribosomal RNA
Source: RNAcentral